CACCUACGGGUGGCAGCAGUGGGGAAUUUUGGACAAUGGGGGCAACCCUGAUCCAGCCAUGCCGCGUGAGUGAAGAAGGCCUUCGGGUUGUAAAGCUCUUUCGGCCGGGAAGAAAUCGCAUAGGUUAAUACCCUGUGUGGAUGACGGUACCGGAAUAAGAAGCACCGGCUAACUACGUGCCAGCAGCCGCGGUAAUACGUAGGGUGCGAGCGUUAAUCGGAAUUAUUGGGCGUAAAGCGUGCGCAGGCGGUUUAGUAAGACAGGCGUGAAAUCCCCGGGCUCAACCUGGGAACUGCGCUUGUGACUGCUAAGCUAGAGUACGGCAGAGGGGGGUGGAAUUCCACGUGUAGCAGUGAAAUGCGUAGAGAUGUGGAGGAACACCAAUGGCGAAGGCAGCCCCCUGGGCCGAUACUGACGCUCAUGCACGAAAGCGUGGGUAGCAAACAGGAUUAGAUACCCUGGUAGUCCACGCCCUAAACGAUGUCAACUAGGUGUUGGGUGGGUAAAACCAUUUAGU
RNAcentral lists this ribosomal RNA (517 nucleotides) under uncultured bacterium. RNAcentral's name for it is "bacterial SSU rRNA". It matches the Rfam family "Bacterial small subunit ribosomal RNA", at positions 335 to 844 of the family's 1533-position model. The record is from RNAcentral.